AUUGAACGCUGGCGGCAUGCCUUACACAUGCAAGUCGAACGGUAACAGGUCUUCGGAUGCUGACGAGUGGCGAACGGGUGAGUAAUACAUCGGAACGUGCCUAGUAGUGGGGGAUAACUACUCGAAAGAGUGGCUAAUACCGAAUGAGAUCUACGGAUGAAAGCAGGGGAUCGCAAGACCUUGUGCUAAUAGAGCGGACGAUGGCAGAUUAGGUAGUUGGUGGGAUAAAAGCUUACCAAGCCGACGAUCUGUAGCUGGUCUGAGAGGACGAUCAGCCACACUGGGACUGAGACACGGCCCAGACGCCUACGGGAGGCAGCAGUGGGGAAUUUUGGACAAUGGGCGAAAGCCUGAUCCAGCAAUGCCGCGUGCAGGAUGAAGGCCUUCGGGUUGUAAACUGCUUUUGUACGGAACGAAAAGCCCCGGGUUAAUACCCUGGGGUCAUGACGGUACCGUAAGAAUAAGCACCGGCUAACUACGUGCCAGCCGCCGCCGUAA
This 498-nucleotide ribosomal RNA is filed under the name uncultured bacterium. Its description in RNAcentral is "partial 16S ribosomal RNA". It matches the Rfam family "Bacterial small subunit ribosomal RNA", at positions 30 to 523 of the family's 1533-position model. The record is from RNAcentral.